This 1138-nucleotide unclassified non-coding RNA is filed under the name Hevea brasiliensis (rubber tree). The record is from RNAcentral. Lineage: Eukaryota; Viridiplantae; Streptophyta; Magnoliopsida; Malpighiales; Euphorbiaceae.
AAAAGACUUUAAAUAAAUAAUUUGAGUCUGGUAUCCUAACUGAACUUUUCAAAAUUCAAAAUGCAUUCUUCCAACGAGAAGCAGUGGCUUCACUUGUACUCAGGAAAAGACGAUUGCCACAAUCGCUAAAACAGGAAGAAACAUGUAUGAGCACUACCACACCUACUGGACUCUGGACCUAAUUACUCCAAGCAAACCUUUACAAAGGAUAACUAACCACAAAAGCAGGAAAUAAUAGUAAUAGAACAGCAAUACUGUAGAAACGGGCAAGGGGUGCAGCAGCAGGGAAAUACUGCAGAAAAGGGUAAAAGGUGCAGCAGCAGGUCUCACCUAUGAAAUUCAUCUAAGAUUUUUAGUAUCCAAUUGAGUACUUGACUCAUUCCCUCAUGCUAUCAUUGUCAUCUUCCGCCUCACUCAAAUCAAGAUCAGCUAAUAAUUCUUCCAAUGGGACAGAAGGAGCAUCAUCGUCAUCAGUCACAGAUGCCAUUUCCGAUGGCUGAUACUCCUUGUUACGAUAAAGAGAUAUUCUGAACCUCAUAUCUGCAUUCUCCUCUAUAUCUCUUAAGAAUAUUUCAUACUCAUUUUCUUUCUUCUCUUCAUCAUCUCUACCCUUAACAUUGUCAUCAAUCUCCAUAUUGAGAGACUUCAGCUUCCAUGAACGAGGCUUCCCACGCUUCUUCUGCCAUUUCUCCUCAUAGCUCUUCUUAACCAGUAUUACAUCUGGGAGAACAAAGCCUUUAUAUUUAUCAAGCUCACUAUCGUUACUAUUGGCAGCAUAUAAGUCAUACCCAAGUGCAUUAUCCCCAGGAUUCAGAAUAUGCCCCAAAUGUGUUCGUAUGUUGAAAAUUGUAUCAUUUUUUCCAAAAUCAGAUAUACGAGCUACUUGGGCGUCUGCCAAAGCAUACUUAGAUCCACCAAUAUUGACCUCAGAAGAAACAGCCUCAAUAUCUAGAACAAUAUAUUCCACAAGCUGCCUACUAGUAAGUAAUGACUUAAAGGACGCCCUCCAAUAUUGUUCCGCAUCAAGGAAACAGUUCCUGAGAGUCAAUGGGUCAAGUAACGCAAUGUGGUUACUCACCUUGGUGCAGAUCACAAGUGGCCCUAGAUUCCCCAAACUAUUUGAAACUUUAGGUGGAAG